Long non-coding RNA from Humulus lupulus (European hop), 410 nucleotides. RefSeq lists it as uncharacterized. The record is from RefSeq and is a predicted model, not a curated record. Lineage: Eukaryota; Viridiplantae; Streptophyta; Magnoliopsida; Rosales; Cannabaceae. The transcript has 2 exons.
AUUUUUUUUUUGUUUUCCUGUUCUACAUUUACUUGGCUGAGACUGUUCCUAUUGUUACUUAUCUAAGUUUUACAAUUUAUUCAAUUUUUAGCUUGAGAAGCUGAGUGACAUACAGUGCCAACCUGAGUCACAGCUAAAGUUCAUAACACAGGCCUGGCUUCAGGUAAGAUAAUUUAACUUUUAUUUCAAGGUACAGUUUCUUCACUCGAAGAAAUGAAAUAAUGUUUUCCUUGCUAUUUUUUUUUUCAGAUCGUUGAGUGCAGGCGUGUUUUGAAAUGGACAUAUGCUUAUGGAUAUUAUUUACCAGAGCAUGAACAUGCCAAGAGACAGUUCUUUGAGUACUUGCAAGGUGAGGCAGAGUCUGGGUUGGAAAGACUUCAUCAAUGUGCAGAAAAGGAGCUACAUGUUUA